CCUACGGGAGGCAGCAGUGGGGAAUUUUGGACAAUGGGCGCAAGCCUGAUCCAGCCAUGCCGCGUGUGGGAAGAAGGCCUUCGGGUUGUAAACCACUUUUGUCAGGGAAGAAACGGUUUGUCCUAAUACGGCGGACUAAUGACGGUACCUGAAGAAUAAGCACCGGCUAACUACGUGCCAGCAGCCGCGGUAAUACGUAGGGUGCAAGCGUUAAUCGGAAUUACUGGGCGUAAAGCGUGCGCAGGCGGCUUUGCAAGACAGAUGUGAAAUCCCCGGGCUCAACCUGGGAACUGCAUUUGUGACUGCAUGGCUAGAGUACGGUAGAGGGGGAUGGAAUUCCGCGUGUAGCAGUGAAAUGCGUAGAUAUGCGGAGGAACACCGAUGGCGAAGGCAAUCCCCUGGACCUGUACUGACGCUCAUGCACGAAAGCGUGGGGAGCAAACAGGAUUAGAUACCCUGGUAGUCCACGCCCUAAACGAUGUCAACUGGUUGUUGGACGGCUUGCUGUUCAGUACGAAGCUAACGCGUGAAGUUGACCGCCUGGGGNGUAACGGCGCGAGUUAGUAAGUUAAGUUAGAGUUGNGGNGNGAGAGNGCGAGGACGACGACGAGGGAGGAGG
Molecule: ribosomal RNA, 619 nt
Filed under: uncultured bacterium
Lineage: Bacteria
Description: bacterial SSU rRNA
Rfam family: Bacterial small subunit ribosomal RNA (bases 1-541)
Source: RNAcentral